Molecule: ribosomal RNA, 459 nt
Filed under: uncultured bacterium
Lineage: Bacteria
Description: partial 16S ribosomal RNA
Rfam family: Bacterial small subunit ribosomal RNA
Source: RNAcentral
CCUACGGGAGGCAGCAGUGAGGAAUAUUGGUCAAUGGUCGGGAGACUGAACCAGCCAAGCCGCGUGAGGGAUGAAGGUACAGAGUAUCGUAAACCUCUUUUGUCAGGGAACAAAGGCGGGGACGUGUCCCCGGAUGAGUGUACCUGAAGAAAAAGCAUCGGCUAACUCCGUGCCAGCAGCCGCGGUAAUACGGAGGAUGCGAGCGUUAUCCGGAUUUAUUGGGUUUAAAGGGUGCGCAGGCGGUCUGUUAAGUCAGCGGUAAAAGCCCGGGGCGUAACCCCGGCUCGCCGUUGAAACUGGCAUUCUCGAGUACGAGAGAGGUAUGCGGAAUGCGCGGUGUAGCGGUGAAAUGCUUAGAUAUCGCGCAGAACUCCGAUAGCGAAGGCAGCAUGCCGGCUCCACACUGACGCUGAGGCACGAAAGCGUGGGUAUCGAACAGGAUUAGAUACCCGAGUAGUC